This 253-nucleotide ribosomal RNA is filed under the name uncultured bacterium. Its description in RNAcentral is "partial 16S ribosomal RNA". It matches the Rfam family "Archaeal small subunit ribosomal RNA", at positions 474 to 727 of the family's 1478-position model. The record is from RNAcentral.
UACCAGCACCCCGAGUGGUCGGGACGAUUAUUGGGCCUAAAGCAUCCGUAGCCGGUUUUACAAGUCCUCCGUUAUAUCCAGCUGCUUAACAGAUGGGCUGCGGAGGAUACUAUAAGACUAGGAGGCAGGAGAGGCAAGCGGUACUCAGUGGGUAGGGGUAAAAUCCGUUGAUCCAUUGAAGACCACCAGUGGCGAAGGCGGCUUGCCAGAAUGCGCUCGACGGUGAGGGAUGAAAGCUGGGGGAGCAAACCGG